This 558-nucleotide ribosomal RNA is filed under the name uncultured bacterium. Its description in RNAcentral is "bacterial SSU rRNA". It matches the Rfam family "Bacterial small subunit ribosomal RNA", at positions 102 to 694 of the family's 1533-position model. The record is from RNAcentral.
ACGGGUGAGUAACGCGUGGGAACGUGCCCUUCGGUUCGGAAUAACUCAGGGAAACUUGAGCUAAUACCGGAUACGCCCUUUUGGGGAAAGGCUUGACUGCCGAAGGAUCGGCCCGCGUCUGAUUAGCUAGUUGGUGAGGUUACGGCUCACCAAGGCGACGAUCAGUAGCUGGUCUGAGAGGAUGAUCAGCCACACUGGGACUGAGACACGGCCCAGACUCCUACGGGAGGCAGCAGUGGGGAAUAUUGGACAAUGGGGGCAACCCUGAUCCAGCCAUGCCGCGUGAGUGAUGACGGCCUUAGGGUUGUAAAGCUCUUUUCUCCGGGACGAUAAUGACGGUACCGGAGGAAUAAGCCCCGGCUAACUUCGUGCCAGCAGCCGCGGUAAUACGAAGGGGGCUAGCGUUGCUCGGAAUCACUGGGCGUAAAGGGCGCGUAGGCGGCUGAUUUAGUCGAGGGUGAAAGCCCGUGGCUCAACCACGGAAUGGCCUUCGAUACUGGUUGGCUUGAGACCGGAAGAGGACAGCGGAACUGCGAGUGUAGAGGUGAAAUUCGUAGA